AUGCAAACCAUAUUUAGUCAUGGAUCGCAAAAUGGCAGGAGAGGGUCAGCGCAACAAGAGUGGUCAGACCCUGGGGCUCAGCUGGGGUGCACAGGGUGGUCAGCUCCCAGGGCUCAGCUGGGGUGCACAGGGCAGCCAGACCCUGGAGCUCAGCCUGGGGUGCAGGGCAAUCAGCUCCGGGGCUCAGCCUGGGUACAAGGCGGCCAGACCCUGGCACUCAGCUGGGGUGCAGGGCUGUCAGCUCCCGGGGCUCAGCCUGUGGUGCAGGGCGGCCAGACCCCGGGGUGCAGCCUGGGGUGCAGGGUGGUCAGACCUCAGGGCUCAGCUGGGGCACAGGGUGGUCAGACCCCAGGGCUCAGCUGGGGUGCAGGGCAGCCAGCUCCCGGGGCAGGUGCAGGAGGCAGGUGGCCGCCUGAGGACCCACAGCUGUUGUGCAGCCCCCGCCCCCCGCAGCCACAGGGCAAGGCUCCGCUGGCUGCCGCCCCCCUGUGGCCCCACAACACACCUGGAGACGGGCCCUCCCCACCCCGCCGCUGUCAGAGCCACAGGGACUCCGACACCAGAGGCUCAACCCCAGCGCCCGGGCGCCGCCUGCCCCCUGACGGCCGCCGCACAGCGACACAGUCGGGGCGGGAGCCGCAGCCGCGCUCGGCAGCCCCCACCCUGGUGCAGGCGACGGCGUCCUGGGCACCCCGGCCGCGUCUCUGGGCCCUGCUGCAGCUGCGACGCUGCUGGCCCGGCGCCCCUGCCCCCGCCUCCUGUCGCCUGUCGGGGCUUUCCACCCCAGCCCCGGCAGCAGGGGCCACAGCCGUCUCGACGCAGGACGUUCCUUCGGGGAUCUCCGAUUGCCGCUGGCCUGCGGGGGGCGGGGGGCCUGGGCGGCUGCCACUUACCCCGACGGCGGCGCUGGCUGGGCUGGGCGGCGGGUGCGCGGGCGGCCGGGCCCCGGGGUUAUAUAGCCCCUUGGCCGGCCUCCCUCCCACUGGCUUCCCAAACAAGGAGCAGAGGCGCUCGGGCGCGGCCAGGCCAACACGACCAUAUAGGGGCCUCGGCACGAAAGCCUCCUCUCUGCGGGGCCGGGUCUGGGCUCUUCCACCGCAUUCCACUGCUGGCUGCCGGCGCCCGGGGACCAGGGCCCGGGCCUCCAGAGCCGCCGCCGAGGGCCCAGGGCCACGAGCUGGUGCGGGGGCACACGCGGCCCGGGGCGUCCUCAGGGCCCAGCCACCUCCCCCCGCGGCGGCUGUGCCCCCGACAGGCACACGGUGCCCACGGCUCCUAAACACGCUGACGGCGGGCUGUGAUUUCACGGUGCCCAGCCCCGGGGCGCGAGGGGCCCGGCCAUCCACGCGCAGACACGGCCGAGGCCCGGCUCCAGCAGCGCCCACGCCGCCCUGUCACGAGGCAGCUCCGGGCCUCUGCCCCCCGACCCCCCGGUGCCCACGCGGGCCCCGGCCACGCUGCCCGGGUGCUUGCGAGCGCCGCCACGCCGGGACACUCCAGGGUGACCGGGCCCUCGAUGGCCGCGACCCCUGUCCACCGCGUGCUGGCCCACAAGUGGGGCGCGAGCCUCCCCCUCUGCCUCGUCCCUGUCACCAGCACGCACACGGCCCGGGUGUUGAGGCAGGAGGGCCGCACGGCACAACGCGCACACGGAGCGUCCGUAAGAGCAAAUGGAAACAUGUAUGA
RNAcentral lists this long non-coding RNA (1686 nucleotides) under Canis lupus familiaris (dog). RNAcentral's name for it is "lncRNA (ENSCAFG00030020196.1)". The record is from RNAcentral. Lineage: Eukaryota; Metazoa; Chordata; Mammalia; Carnivora; Canidae.